CUACGCUUCACUGACAGUGCUCCUUCACUGGUUAUAAUGCAGAGGAGCUCACAGACACCCGAGUACUUCAGGUUAUGGAGAUGGAUCAAAUCCUCCAGGUUUCAGCACGUCUGACAAGGAAGGAGCGCAUGGUGGAAUGCGUAUGACGUGCCGUCAAGGACUGAAGACAAGGAAAUCUCAAAGCGUAACCAUUCUCAAUUCU
Long non-coding RNA from Tachysurus vachellii, 202 nucleotides. RefSeq lists it as uncharacterized. NCBI's taxonomy places the organism in Eukaryota, Metazoa, Chordata, Actinopteri, Siluriformes, Bagridae. The transcript has 3 exons. The record is from RefSeq and is a predicted model, not a curated record.